CGAAAACUCAGCCGCUAGGCGCUCUCUAUCCCUCCGGCUGAUGCGGUGAUGACGCGCGCCCAGCCGACAUUGCUGGUGGCAACCCCGUGAGCUGUCUCGGGGUAGUCGGUGCUGAUGCCGCCGUCGGCGCAGACGACGUCCAGCUCGGGCACUCCCGGAUAAGAUGUCCCGGUUGGCCACACUUGAAACACUUGCCAUCGCGCUGCGGGCAAGUCGACACUCGGUGCUCACCGCCAUAAAUAACACAUCGAGGAGGCCUCCAGUUCCUUGACUGCUGUCGGGGAUACCGAAGGGGUUUUUUAGCAUUCGGCCGGCCCCCCGGCACCGCCCGCCGUUCUCUUCUUG
Molecule: long non-coding RNA, 345 nt
Filed under: Ananas comosus (pineapple)
Lineage: Eukaryota; Viridiplantae; Streptophyta; Magnoliopsida; Poales; Bromeliaceae
Description: long non-coding RNA (ACOM_LNC005307)
Source: RNAcentral